AUGACCUCCAGGAGGAGGUCGCGCCCGCUGCAGUUUCUGCCGGCCUCCAGGAGGGGUUCGUUCCUGUUGCAGCUUCUGCUGCAGUUCCUGUCGGCUUCCAGGAGGAGGUCGUUCCUGUUGCAGCUUCCGCUGCAGCUCCUGUCGGCCUCUAGGAGGAGGUCGUUCCUGUUGCAGCUUCCGCUGCAGUUCCUGUCGGCCCCCAGGUGGAGGUCGUUCCUGUUGCAGUUCCCGCUGCGGUUCCCGCCGAGCUCCAGGAGGAGGCUGCGCCUGCCGCAGUUCCCGCUGCGGUUCCCGACGACCUCCAGGAGGAGGCCGCGCCUGCCGCAGUUCCCGCUGCGGUUCCCGACGACCUCCAGGAGGAGGCCGCGCCUGCCGCAGUUCCCGCUGCGGUUCCCGCCGACCUCCAGGAGGAGGCCGCGCCUGCCGCAGUUCCCGCUGCGGUUCCCGACGACCUCCAGGAGGAGGCCACGCCUGCCGCAGUUCCCGCUGCGGUUCCCGACGACCUCCAGGAGGAGGUCGCGCCCGCUGCAGUUCCUGCCGGCCUCCAGGAGGGGGUCGUUCCUGUUGCAGCUUCUGCUGCAGUUCCUGUCGGCCUCCAGGAGGAGGUCGUUCCUGUUGCAGCUUCCGCUGCAGUUCCUGUCGGCCCCCAGGAGGAGGUCGUUCCUGUUGCAGCUUCCGCUGCGGUUUCUGUCGGCCUCCAGGAGAAGGUUGUUCCUGCUGCGGUCGCCGGUAGUCCUGCAGAGACUUUUGUUUUUGUUCCUUUGUGCACAGGAGCCGUCCCGGGAGGUGCAGGAGGUUCUUGCGGAGCAUCGGCUCCUGGUGACCCGGCACCGGCCACGUGCGCCUCUACAUCUGGUAGCCUGGCACGGAUCACGUCUGCAGAGGCAGCUCCCAGUGGUUCGACCACGCUUGCAGAGGCAGCUCCCGGUGGUUCGACCACGCUUGCAUAGGCAGCUCCCAGUGGUUCGACCACGCUUGCAGAGGCAGCUCCCGGUGGUUUGA
RNAcentral lists this long non-coding RNA (1002 nucleotides) under Betta splendens (Siamese fighting fish). RNAcentral describes it as "lncRNA (ENSBSLG00000014677.1)". Lineage: Eukaryota; Metazoa; Chordata; Actinopteri; Anabantiformes; Osphronemidae. The record is from RNAcentral.